GUGCCUGCUUCAGCAGCACAUAUACUGAUAUUGGGACAAUAUAGAGAUUAGCAUGACCCCGGCGCAAGGAUGACACGCAAAUUCAUAAAGCGUUCUCUAUGUUU
Molecule: small nuclear RNA, 104 nt
Organism: Bison bison bison
Lineage: Eukaryota; Metazoa; Chordata; Mammalia; Artiodactyla; Bovidae
Source: Ensembl